GCUGAAGAUGGUUGGAUCUAGGACAUUACUCUGAGAAACUCCUGCUGAGACGUCCUGGAGCUGAAAUACCUGACUUCCAACAGCCACGGCCAUCUUCCUAUGUGUGAGGUUUGCUGAGGUGCAUAGGAAAUCACCUGGAAAAAGGACUUCACAGUGAGGUUUAGCUUCUGUAAUACAAUCUACAAUCAAAUCGAUCUGAAUAUCCCCCAAAAAGAUGUAA
This is a non-coding RNA of Chiloscyllium plagiosum (whitespotted bambooshark), 220 nucleotides long. NCBI's taxonomy places the organism in Eukaryota, Metazoa, Chordata, Chondrichthyes, Orectolobiformes, Hemiscylliidae. The record is from RefSeq and is a predicted model, not a curated record.